AGAAAGCAUUUUCAGUUGUAGAUG
This 24-nucleotide non-coding RNA is filed under the name Cricetulus griseus (Chinese hamster). The record is from RNAcentral. Lineage: Eukaryota; Metazoa; Chordata; Mammalia; Rodentia; Cricetidae.